Molecule: transfer RNA, 72 nt
Filed under: Solirubrobacteraceae bacterium
Lineage: Bacteria; Bacillati; Actinomycetota; Thermoleophilia; Solirubrobacterales; Solirubrobacteraceae
Also listed under: 2 other names
Description: tRNA-Gly
Rfam family: tRNA
About the family: Transfer RNA (tRNA) molecules are approximately 80 nucleotides in length. Their secondary structure includes four short double-helical elements and three loops (D, anti-codon, and T loops).
Source: RNAcentral
GCGGGCGAGGUGUCAACGGUUGCACGGGAGCCUUCCAAGCUCUAGGAACGGGUUCGACCCCCGUCGCCCGCU